GCGAGUUGCGAGACUCCCAAACCAUUGUGAACCUACCUGUACCGUUUCUUCGGCGGGCGGCCUCGCCCCUAACCUCGCCGCCCCUCGCGGGCUGGCGGACCCGCCGGAGGCUCUUAAACUCUUAGAUUUUUUGGCACCUCUGAGUAUUACUUUUUAAUGAGUAA
RNAcentral lists this unclassified non-coding RNA (164 nucleotides) under uncultured Ascomycota. Its description in RNAcentral is "sequence contains ITS1". Lineage: Eukaryota; Fungi; Ascomycota. The record is from RNAcentral.